CGGCAGAAGCUCAAAUUUGAAAUCUGGCCCCUCUGGGGGUCCGAGUUGUAAUUUGCAGAGGAUACUUCGGGUGCGGCCGCGGCCUAAGUCCCCUGGAACGGGGCGUCAUAGAGGGUGAGAAUCCCGUCUUGGGCCGUGGGCCUGCCCCGUGUGAAGUUCCUUCGAC
This 166-nucleotide ribosomal RNA is filed under the name Nannizziopsis sp. RNAcentral's name for it is "partial large subunit ribosomal RNA". It matches the Rfam family "Eukaryotic large subunit ribosomal RNA", at positions 99 to 261 of the family's 3401-position model. Lineage: Eukaryota; Fungi; Ascomycota; Eurotiomycetes; Onygenales; Nannizziopsiaceae. The record is from RNAcentral.